UGAGGGGGGCUGCUCCUAGUACGAGAGGACCGGAGUAGACGCAUCACUGGUGUUCGGGUUGUCAUGCCAAUGGCACUGCCCGGUAGCUAAAUGCGGAAGAGAUAAGUGCUGAAAGCAUCUAAGCACGAAACUUGCCCCGAGAUGAGUUCUCCCUGACUCCUUGAGAGUCCUGAAGGAACGUUGAAGACGACGACGUUGAUAGGCCGGAUGUGUAAGCGCAGCGAUGCGUUGAGCUAACCGGUACUAAUGAACCGUGAGGCUUAACCUUACAACGCCGAAGGUGUUU
Molecule: ribosomal RNA, 286 nt
Filed under: Escherichia coli O43:H2
Lineage: Bacteria; Pseudomonadati; Pseudomonadota; Gammaproteobacteria; Enterobacterales; Enterobacteriaceae
Description: partial 23S ribosomal RNA
Rfam family: Bacterial large subunit ribosomal RNA
Source: RNAcentral